RNAcentral lists this transfer RNA (76 nucleotides) under Patescibacteria group bacterium. Its description in RNAcentral is "tRNA-Pro". It matches the Rfam family "tRNA". From Rfam's summary of the family: Transfer RNA (tRNA) molecules are approximately 80 nucleotides in length. Their secondary structure includes four short double-helical elements and three loops (D, anti-codon, and T loops). The record is from RNAcentral.
CGGGCUAUGGCGCAGUUGGUAGCGCGCUUGCAUGGGGUGCAAGAGGCCGUGGGUUCGAGUCCCACUAGCCCGACCA